RNAcentral lists this transfer RNA (72 nucleotides) under Bos taurus (domestic cattle). It matches the Rfam family "tRNA". Rfam says of the family: Transfer RNA (tRNA) molecules are approximately 80 nucleotides in length. Lineage: Eukaryota; Metazoa; Chordata; Mammalia; Artiodactyla; Bovidae. RNAcentral also lists the same sequence under 4 other names. The record is from Rfam by way of RNAcentral.
CCCUGGGGGGUCCAGUGGUUAAGACUCUGCACUUCCACUGCAGGGGGCAUGGGUUCGAAUCCUGGUCAGGGA